Molecule: ribosomal RNA, 527 nt
Filed under: Lacerta trilineata citrovittata
Lineage: Eukaryota; Metazoa; Chordata; Lepidosauria; Squamata; Lacertidae
Description: partial 16S ribosomal RNA
Rfam family: Bacterial large subunit ribosomal RNA
Source: RNAcentral
CCUACAAGUAUUAAAGGUCUCGCCUGCCCAGUGACUCUUUAAACGGCCGCGGUAUCCUAACCGUGCAAAGGUAGCAUAAUCACUUGUCCCCUAAAUCGGGACUAGAAUGAACGGCUAAAUGAGGACUAAACUGUCUCUUACAGCUGACCAAUGAAAUUGAUUUCCCAGUACAAAAGCUGGGAUUUACCCAUAAGACGAGAAGACCCUGUGGAGCUUCAAAACCAAACCAUUUAGUAUGUCCCUUGGUUUUUUAGUUGGGGCGACUUCGGAAUACAACAAAACUUCCAAAAUAAAAUAACUCAUUAAGGUUAACACACCAAAACCUCCACACAGACCCAGCAACUAAUUUGUCUGACCAAUGAACCAAGUUACCCCAGGGAUAACAGCGCAAUCUCCUUUUAGAGUCCAUAUCGACAAGGGGGUUUACGACCUCGAUGUUGGAUCAGGACACCCCAAUGGUGCAGCCGCCAUUAAAGGUUCGUUUGUUCAACGAUUAACAGUCCUACGUGAUCUGAGUUCAGACCGGA